UACGUGCCAGCAGCCGCGGUAAGACGUAGGACGCAAGCGUUAUCCGGAUUUACUGGGCGUAAAGCGCCUGUAGGCGGUCAAGUAAGUCGGAUGUGAAAGCCCCGUGCUCAACGCGGGGAAGCCAUUCGAUACUGCGUGACUAGAGAACGGCAGAGGGAAACGGAAUUUCUGGUGUAGCGGUAAAAUGCGCAGAGAUCAGAAAGAACACCGAUGGCGAAGGCAGUUUCCUAGGCCGCAUCUGACGCUGAGAGGCGAAAGCUAGGGGAGCAAACAGGAUUAGAGACCCUGGUAGUCCUAGCUGUAAACGAUGGAUGCUAGGUGUGGGCCGGAAAGGUCCGUGCCGUAGUUAACGCGAUAAGCAUCCCGCCUGGGGAGUACGGCCGCAAGGCUAAAACUCAAACGAAUUGACGGGGACCCGCACAAGCAGCGGAGCGUGUGGUUUAAUUCGAUGCUACACGCAGAACCUUACCUGGGCUUGACAUGUAGGUGGUAGUGAAGUGAAAGCGGAGCGACCCUUCGGGGAGCCUACACAGGUGCUGCAUGGCUGUCGUCAGCUCGUGCCGUGAGGUGUCGGGUUAAGUCCCGUAACGAGCGCAACCCUUGUCCUUAGUUACAAGUGUCUAAGGAGACUGCCGGUGACAAACCGGAGGAAGGUGGGGAUGACGUCAAGUCAGCAUGGCCCUUAUGUCCAGGGCGACACACACGCUACAAUGGUCGGUACAAUGGGCAGCGCAGCCGCGAGGUGAAGCGAAUCCCAACAAAGCCGAUCCCAGUUCGGAUUGCAGGCUGCAACCCGCCUGCAUGAAGCCGGAGUU
This 815-nucleotide ribosomal RNA is filed under the name uncultured organism. RNAcentral describes it as "bacterial SSU rRNA". It matches the Rfam family "Bacterial small subunit ribosomal RNA", at positions 502 to 1333 of the family's 1533-position model. The record is from RNAcentral.